This 253-nucleotide ribosomal RNA is filed under the name uncultured bacterium. RNAcentral describes it as "partial 16S ribosomal RNA". It matches the Rfam family "Bacterial small subunit ribosomal RNA", at positions 524 to 776 of the family's 1533-position model. The record is from RNAcentral.
UACAGAGGGGGCAAGCGUUAUUCGGAAUUAUUGGGCGUAAAGGGCGCGUAGGCGGCCGUGCAAGUGGAAGGUGGAAUCCCUCGGCUCAACCGAGGAACUGCCUUUCAAACUGCAUGGCUUGAGUCCGGGAGAGGUGAGUGGAAUUCCCAGUGUAGCGGUGAAAUGCGUAGAUAUUGGGAGGAACACCAGUGGCGAAGGCGGCUCACUGGACCGGAACUGACGCUGAGGCGCGAAAGCGUGGGGAGCAAACGGG